RNAcentral lists this ribosomal RNA (382 nucleotides) under uncultured bacterium. Its description in RNAcentral is "bacterial SSU rRNA". It matches the Rfam family "Bacterial small subunit ribosomal RNA", at positions 518 to 898 of the family's 1533-position model. The record is from RNAcentral.
CGGUAAUACGUAGGGUGCGAGCGUUAAUCGGAAUUACUGGGCGUAAAGCGUGCGCAGGCGGAUUGUUAAGUGAGACGUGAAAUCCCUGGGCUUAACCUGGGAAUGGCGUUUUGAACUGGCAGUCUAGAGUGUGUCAGAAGGGGAUGGAAUUCCACGUGUAGCAGUGAAAUGCGUAGAGAUGUGGAGGAACACCAAUGGCGAAGGCAGCCCCCUGGGAUAACACUGACGCUCAUGUACGAAAGCGUGGGUAGCAAACAGGAUUAGAUACCCUGGUAGUCCACGCCCUAAACGAUGUCAACUGGUUGUUGGGGGAAUAGGAUCCUCUAGUAACGAAGCUAACGCGUGAAGUUGACCGCCUGGGGAGUACGGUCGCAAGAUUAAA